AUUUCAACAGUUUCUUCUGCAGUCGGCUGCUUCUCCACUCCAAUCGCCACGGUUAGUCGGUUACGUCUGCAAGACUGCAACUCAAGGCCCUGCAACCACUCCUAAAACCUAUUGAUGAUGGGCAAUGGCAGCAUCCUGUGGCGGUCUUGGGUUUGGGUCUUCUUCUAUUAUUGGACUCGUUGGUACUUGGUACUAUUUGGUAAGUCAUCUAUGAUUUAUCUUCCCCAAAUUCCAACCGACCGACGGCAAUAAUCAAGGCAUGAAUCCGAUUCUGAUGCUG
RNAcentral lists this long non-coding RNA (280 nucleotides) under Olea europaea (common olive). RNAcentral describes it as "long non-coding RNA (OEUR_LNC003354)". Lineage: Eukaryota; Viridiplantae; Streptophyta; Magnoliopsida; Lamiales; Oleaceae. The record is from RNAcentral.